RNAcentral lists this transfer RNA (72 nucleotides) under bacterium. RNAcentral describes it as "tRNA-Val". It matches the Rfam family "tRNA". From Rfam's summary of the family: Transfer RNA (tRNA) molecules are approximately 80 nucleotides in length. Their secondary structure includes four short double-helical elements and three loops (D, anti-codon, and T loops). The record is from RNAcentral.
GCGCGCAUAGCUCAGUGGUAGAGCGCACCGUUCACAUCGGUGAGGUCCAAGGUCCGAUCCCUUGUGCGCGCA